RNAcentral lists this ribosomal RNA (253 nucleotides) under uncultured bacterium. RNAcentral's name for it is "partial 16S ribosomal RNA". It matches the Rfam family "Bacterial small subunit ribosomal RNA", at positions 524 to 776 of the family's 1533-position model. The record is from RNAcentral.
UACGAAGGGGGCUAGCGUUGCUCGGAAUCACUGGGCGUAAAGCGCACGUAGGCGGAUCUUUAAGUCAGGGGUGAAAUCCUGGAGCUCAAUUCCAGAACUGCCUUUGAUACUGGGGAUCUCGAGUCCGGAAGAGGUGAGUGGAACUCCGAGUGUAGAGGUGAAAUUCGUAGAUAUUCGGAAGAACACCAGUGGCGAAGGCGGCUCACUGGUCCGGUACUGACGCUGAGGUGCGAAAGCGUGGGGAGCAAACAGG